CCUACGGGUGGCAGCAGUGGGGAAUCUUGCACAAUGGGGGCAACCCUGAUGCAGCGACGCCGCGUGAGCGAUGAAGCCCUUCGGGGUGUAAAGCUCUUUCGGCAGGGAAGAUUAUGACGGUACCUGCAGAAGCAGCUGCGGCUAACUACGUGCCAGCAGCCGCGGUAAUACGUAGGGGGCGAGCGUUGUCCGGAGUUACUGGGCGUAAAGGGCACGCAGGCGGUCGUGUAAGUUUGGGGUUACAGCUCCCGGCUCAACUGGGAGAGCGCCUUGAAGACUGCAGGACUUGAGGGCCAGAGAGGGACACAGAAUUCCGGGUGUAGUGGUGAAAUGCGUAGAUAUCCGGAGGAAUACCAAAGGCGAAGGCAGUGUCCUGGGUGGUUUCUGACGCUGAGGUGCGAAAGCUAGGGGAGCGAACGGGAUUAGAUACCCUAGUAGUC
Molecule: ribosomal RNA, 440 nt
Filed under: uncultured bacterium
Lineage: Bacteria
Description: bacterial SSU rRNA
Rfam family: Bacterial small subunit ribosomal RNA
Source: RNAcentral